This 497-nucleotide ribosomal RNA is filed under the name uncultured bacterium. Its description in RNAcentral is "partial 16S ribosomal RNA". It matches the Rfam family "Bacterial small subunit ribosomal RNA", at positions 28 to 507 of the family's 1533-position model. The record is from RNAcentral.
GAUGAAUGCUGGCGGCGUGCCUAAUACAUGCAAGUCGAGCGAACAGACGAGGAGCUUGCUCCUCUGACGUUAGCGGCGGACGGGUGAGUAACACGUGGAUAACCUACCUAUAAGACUGGGAUAACUUCGGGAAACCGGAGCUAAUACCGGAUAAUAUAUUGAACCGCAUGGUUCAAUAGUGAAAGACGGUUUUGCUGUCACUUAUAGAUGGAUCCGCGCCGCAUUAGCUAGUUGGUAAGGUAACGGCUUACCAAGGCAACGAUGCGUAGCCGACCUGAGAGGGUGAUCGGCCACACUGGAACUGAGACACGGUCCAGACUCCUACGGGAGGCAGCAGUAGGGAAUCUUCCGCAAUGGGCGAAAGCCUGACGGAGCAACGCCGCGUGAGUGAUGAAGGUCUUUGGAUCGUAAAACUCUGUUAUUAGGGAAGAACAAAUGUGUAAGUAACUAUGCACGUCUUGACGGUACCUAAUCAGAAAGCCACGGCUAACUACGUG